CAUAGCAACAAGGUGGCGAUAUCUCCUCUCAAUCUCAAGUCGCCGUCGAAGAUCACGAUGAUACCGGUAUCGGUGGCUGCACGUUCCCCCGUGCGCAUCGCUCCCGCCGUUACCAUGACGACGCGCGCGGGCACGAGCAUCGUCACGGGGGGCAAGACGUCGACGAUAAUCACGAUGUCGCCGUCGAAGCUUUCAAUCAAGCAGGCGCCCAGCCAGGGCGUGCACGUGCCGCGACAGCUGACGCCGCAGCAGCUGGUGUCUGCGAGCGGGCAGCCGCUGCAGGCCGUGCAGGUGCAGGGCAACAAGGUGCAGUACCUGAGGCUGCUGAGUGCGCCGCCUCCGCUCGCUCCCGUCAGCUCUGCCACCACGC
Molecule: long non-coding RNA, 370 nt
Organism: Priapulus caudatus
Lineage: Eukaryota; Metazoa; Priapulida; Priapulimorpha; Priapulimorphida; Priapulidae
Exons: 3
Source: RefSeq, a predicted model, not a curated record